This 1206-nucleotide ribosomal RNA is filed under the name uncultured fungus. Its description in RNAcentral is "eukaryotic LSU rRNA". The stretch from base 577 to 1206 matches the Rfam family "Eukaryotic large subunit ribosomal RNA", at positions 1 to 649 of the family's 3401-position model. The record is from RNAcentral. Lineage: Eukaryota; Fungi.
AAGUCGUAACAAGGUUUCCGUAAGUCUAGUCUCUACCCCUUUUCGAACCGAAUUGUCACUAACAACCACAUAGGUAGGUGAACCUGCGGAAGGAUCAUUACCGAGAUAGGGUCCCCUGGGCCCGAACCUCCCACCCAUUGUUUACUUACCUUUGUUGCUUUGGCGGGCCGCGGAGCGUCAGCCCCCCGUCAACUUCGGUGGACGAGUGCCCGUCAGAAGCCCCAUCAAACUCUGUCAAUUAAUGAAGUCCGAGUCUUAAUAAAUAAGCAAAACUUUCAACAACGGAUCUCUUGGUUCUGGCAUCGAUGAAGAACGCAGCGAAAUGCGAUAAGUAAUGUGAAUUGCAGAAUUCAGUGAAUCAUCGAAUCUUUGAACGCACAUUGCGCCCUCUGGUAUUCCGGGGGGCAUGCCUGUUCGAGCGUCAUUACAUCUCUCGAGCCCAGCUCGGUAUUGAGGGUCGCCCCCCGGGCGCCCUCGAAAUUUAGCGGUGACUUGGUUGGUCCUCGAGCGAGUAAAACUUACGUUCCGCUUCAGAAGAUCAGACUUAGUCUGCCGGACAAACUAAAAAUCUACGAUUGACCUCGGAUCAGGUAGGGAUACCCGCUGAACUUAAGCAUAUCAAUAAGCGGAGGAAUAGAAACCAACAGGGAUUGCCUCAGUAACGGCGAGUGAAGCGGCAACAGCUCAAAUUUGAAAUCUGACCGUCAGGUCCGAGUUGUAAUUUGCAGAGGAUGCUUCGGGGACGAUUCCGGUCUAAAUUCCUUGGAACAGGAUGUCAUAGAGGGUGAGAAUCCCGUCUGCGACCGGCCUUCAACCCCAUGUGAAGCUCCUUCGACGAGUCGAGUUGUUUGGGAAUGCAGCUCUAAAUGGGUGGUAAAUUUCAUCUAAAGCUAAAUAUUGGCCAGAGACCGAUAGCGCACAAGUAGAGUGAUCGAAAGAUGAAAAGCACUUUGGAAAGAGAGUCAAACAGCACGUGAAAUUGUUGAAAGGGAAGCGCUUGCAACCAGACUUGCCCGCGGGUGAUCAACCGUCCUUCGGGGCGGUGCACUGACCCGCAGUCAGGCCAGCAUCGGUUUUGGCGGCCAGAUAAAUGGUUUGGGAACGUAGCUCCCCUCGGGGAGUGUUAUAGCCCAUUCCGUCAUGUGGUCAGCUGGGACCGAGGUCCGCGCUUCGGCUAGGAUGUUGGCGUAAUGGUUGUCAGCGACC